Molecule: ribosomal RNA, 1914 nt
Filed under: Rotylenchulus reniformis
Lineage: Eukaryota; Metazoa; Nematoda; Chromadorea; Rhabditida; Hoplolaimidae
Description: eukaryotic LSU rRNA
Rfam family: Eukaryotic large subunit ribosomal RNA
Source: RNAcentral
GCUGAUGUGUGACCCGGGUCAUCGCGGUGGCCCGGAGCAACAUAGUCCCGUCCCGACCGCAUGCGGUGGGGCGGAGACAGAGCGUACGCGCUGAGACCCGAAAGAUGGUGAACUAUUCCUGAGCAGGACGAAGCCAGAGGAAACUCUGGUGGAAGUCCGAAGCGAUUCUGACGUGCAAAUCGAUCGUCUGACUUGGGUAUAGGGGCGAAAGACUAAUCGAACCAUCUAGUAGCUGGUUCCCUCCGAAGUUUCCCCCAGGAUAGCUGGAGCUCGCUUGAGCAGUUAUACUCGGUAAAGCGAAUGAUUAGAGGACUUGGGGACGAAAUGUCCUUAACCUAUUCUCAAACUCUAAAUGGGUAUGAAGCCGGGGUUGCUUGACUCUCUCUGUGAACCCAGGCGUUGAAUGCUGGAGCUCCAAGUGGGCCAUUUUUGGUAAGCAGAACUGGCGAUGUGGGAUGAACCAAACGCGGAGUUAAGGUGCCAAAGUGCCCGCUCAUUAGACCCCAUAAAAGGUGUUGGUUGAUAUAGACAGCAGGACGGUGGCCAUGGAAGUCGGAAUCCGCUAAGGAGUGUGUAACAACUCACCUGCCGAAUCAACUAGCCCUGAAAAUGGAUGGCGCUGGAGCGGGCCACCUAUACUUCGCCGUCAUUGGCUUGUACUGUCUCCACACAUGAGCAAGUCUGGCCAUGACGUGUAGGAGGGUCGUGGCGGUAGCGUUGAAGGCUUUGGGCGUGGGCCCAGCUGGAGCUGCCGCCAGUGCAGAUCUUGGUGGUAGUAGCAAAUAUUCAAGUGAGAUCCUUGAAGACUGAAGUGGAGAAGGGUUCCACGUGAACAGCAGUUGAAUGUGGGUCAGCCGAUCCUAAGGCACCGGCUAAGGCCGUCACACACUACGGAUGAAGAUCUGGUUGCGCUUGCGUUGCCGAUCCAUCCGGUUGCCGAAAGGGAAGUGGGUUAACAUUCCCACGCCAGGCCAGGGAGAUGACGGUUCGCAAGAGCCGUUUCGCGCGGUAACGCAAAUGAACUCGCAGACGUUGUGUGGAGUCCGGGCCAGAGUUCUCUUUUCUGGUUUAGGACGCGUGUCCCUGGAAUCGGUUCAGCCUGAGGUAGGGAUGUUGCGUCCGUAAAGCACCGCGGUUCCUGUGGUGUCUCGUGCGCUCCACACGACCCGUGAAAAUGCGAGGGAAGCGAUGUGAAUUUCCUGCCUGAUCGUACCGAUAUCCGCAGCAGGUCUCCAAGGUGAACAGCCUCUAGUCGAUAGAAUAAUGUAGGUAAGGGAAGUCGGCAAAUUAGAUUCGUAACUUCGGGAAAAGAAUUGGCUCUAAAGGUCGGGUCAGCCGGGCUGUUGUGUGAAACAGGCGGCCUUUGCCCGUGGCUGCGUGCUGGCCCGCAAGGGUUGGCGCGUGGACUAGUGGUGAGGGCUGCUUGUGGAGCGCUUCAGCUGCGUGUACGCUCGCAAGGGUGUGCACUUCGGUUGGCGCUGAACGACCAGUUUAGAACUGGCACGAACUCGGGGAAUCCGACUGUCUAAUUAAAACAGAGGAGACGGAUGGUCCUUGCGGACGUUGACCGUGUCUGAUUUCUGCCCAGUGCUCUGAAUGUUAAGCCAAGGAAACUUGAUUAAGCGCGGGUAAACGGCGGGAGUAACUAUGACUCUCUUAAGGUAGCCAAAUGCCUCGUCCUCCAAUUAGGGACGCGCACGAAUGGAUCAACGAGAUUCCCACUGUCCCUAUCUACUAUCUAGCGAAACCACAGCCAAGGGAACGGGCUUGGCAAAUUUAGCGGGGAAAGAAGACCCUGUUGAGCUUGACUCUAGUCUGACUUUGUGAAGAAUCAUGAGAGGUGUAGCAUAAGUGGGAGCCGCAAGGCGCCAGUGAAAUACCACUACUUUCAUCGAUUCCUUACUUAAUCGGCGG